GCAAGUCGAGCAAAGUCUUCGGACUUAGCGGCGGACGGGUGAGUAACGCGUGGGAACGUACCCUUUGCUACGGGACAGUCCCGGGAAACUGGGUUUAAUACCGUAUACGCUCUUCGGAGGAAAGAUUUAUCGGCAAAGGAUCGGCCCGCGUUGGAUUAGGUAGUUGGUGGGGUAAUGGCCUACCAAGCCGACGAUCCAUAGCUGGUUUGAGAGGAUGAUCAGCCACACUGGGACUGAGACACGGCCCAGACUCCUACGGGAGGCAGCAGUGGGGAAUCUUAGACAAUGGGGGCAACCCUGAUCUAGCCAUGCCGCGUGAGCGAUGAAGGCCUUAGGGUUGUAAAGCUCUUUCGCUGGGGAAGAUAAUGACGGUACCCAGUAAAGAAGCCCCGGCUAACUCCGUGCCAGCAGCCGCGGUAAUACGGAGGGGGCUAGCGUUGUUCGGAAUUACUGGGCGUAAAGCGCGCGUAGGCGGAUUGGAAAGUUGGGGGUGAAAUCCCGGGGCUCAACCCCGGAACUGCCUCCAAAACUAUCAGUCUAGAGUUCGAGAGAGGUGAGUGGAAUUGC
RNAcentral lists this ribosomal RNA (567 nucleotides) under uncultured bacterium. RNAcentral's name for it is "bacterial SSU rRNA". It matches the Rfam family "Bacterial small subunit ribosomal RNA", at positions 57 to 670 of the family's 1533-position model. The record is from RNAcentral.